GUUUUCGCAGAGAGUGAUUGGGAUACUAGAGGCACAAGGUGUGGAUUUUGAGUGUGUAGAUGUGCUUGACGAGGAAUACAAUUGUGGGUUGAGGGAGACGCUGAAGAAGUACAGCAAUUGGCCGACCUUCCCUCAAGUUUUUGUCGGAGGCGAACUUGUCGGAGGGUGCGAUAUCAUAUCCUCCAUGCAAGAGAAGGGGGAGCUCACGAAGCUGUUACAAAACUAGCAGCCUUGUUAUUUCAGAAACUUUAUAGGCAUUUAUUACUGUUCGAUUUGAGCUAUCUGAAGACGAAAUGUAUAAUUUUCUAAGGCCAUUAGCUGACUGAGAGCACACAG
This 336-nucleotide unclassified non-coding RNA is filed under the name Hevea brasiliensis (rubber tree). Lineage: Eukaryota; Viridiplantae; Streptophyta; Magnoliopsida; Malpighiales; Euphorbiaceae. The record is from RNAcentral.